GGGGGCGCCAUGGUUUCGACGGGGAUGGUUGAAGCCGGGGUAGCAGGCCGAGGUGCCGUGGGGACCUCGUUAAACACGCGGCACAGCGAUAAUUGCCAACGACAAUUACGCCUACGCAAUGGCUGCCUAGAAAACAGCCUUUGCAUUGACGGCAGAGACCGUCACGUUUCAUGCGGUGGACGCCCGAUAAACCGCCUGAAGCGUCAUCCUUUUCGGGCUGGCUGUUGACGUUUGCCGGGAGCGUCACGCAGCGAGACACAUCCAGGCUGGCCAAGGGGAGCCCGUUCGGAGGCCAACCCCGAGGCGAGAACCUAACUCCGAAAUAAGCCUGUAGAAGCCUUGAGUGGAGCGUUCUCGGACGCGGGUUCGAUUCCCGCCGCCUCCACCA
This 388-nucleotide transfer-messenger RNA is filed under the name Desulfovibrionales. RNAcentral describes it as "RZZR01 sp009929795 Standard tmRNA". It matches the Rfam family "transfer-messenger RNA". From Rfam's summary of the family: Bacterial tmRNA, also known as 10Sa RNA or SsrA, is named for its dual tRNA and mRNA-like properties. Its role is to liberate the mRNA from a stalled ribosome. To accomplish this part of the tmRNA is used as a reading frame that ends in a translation stop signal. Lineage: Bacteria; Pseudomonadati; Thermodesulfobacteriota; Desulfovibrionia. RNAcentral also lists the same sequence under 1 other name. The record is from RNAcentral.